CAAGCUUUAUGACUCCAUAGCAAGGGAAGAAGAAAAACAUUUUUCUCUCAUCCUUUCUAAGUCGUACAAGUAUACCCCCUCCAUACCCAUUUCUGGUUUUGACUCAAAGCUUGGAACUAAAGCUUGAUUUCAUCUUCCAAUCGGUGAAAUCUUGAAGUUUAACAUAGUGCCAUCAUUUCAUUCAUCAUCUACACGGCUAUUCCACUAUUCGGUCCUCCACUUGUGUUUUGAAAGGGGCUAAGAGCUUAAGGACCUAUAUUGACGUUGGAAGUAUCAAGGAGCAUAGAGGUAAUGACGAAGAGACUGGGGAGCAAUGCAUUACUGCAGAGGGAGAGGCUGACGCUUAGUGUCUUCCUUGUUGGUUCGACCUUGUAUGGAUGAUGGGUUAUGUUUAUGGAUGUUGUUUUUAUAUUGGGAUGGAGUCUCUUCUUAACUAGAACAGUUAUGUUUUUAUGAACGUUUGAUGGAC
Long non-coding RNA from Juglans regia (Persian walnut), 469 nucleotides. RefSeq lists it as uncharacterized. Lineage: Eukaryota; Viridiplantae; Streptophyta; Magnoliopsida; Fagales; Juglandaceae. The record is from RefSeq and is a predicted model, not a curated record. The transcript has 4 exons.